AGAAGGCUGAGAGGAUCGAACAGUGGGAUGUCUCUUCUUCCUCCUUUGCCUAACUUCUGUAAAUCUUUCAUCAGCAGAAGAUGAAUCUUUGCCCUCAUUAUUAUCAUCAUCAUCUUCAUUAUCUUCAUAUCCCGACACUUCAUCUCCUCGGCCAUUUUGUCUCCUUAAAUGAACAUUCCUAUGAUUGCGACGUGCUCUAACUAAUAAUAUUUUGU
RNAcentral lists this unclassified non-coding RNA (215 nucleotides) under Hevea brasiliensis (rubber tree). The record is from RNAcentral. Lineage: Eukaryota; Viridiplantae; Streptophyta; Magnoliopsida; Malpighiales; Euphorbiaceae.